GAACGCUGGCGGCGUGCUUAACACAUGCAAGUCGAACUGAAGAGCGAUGGAAGCUUGCUUCGUAUCAAUCUUAGUGGCUGAACGGGUGAGUAACGCGUAAUCAACUUGCCCUUCAGAGGGGGACAACCAGUUGGAAACGACUGCUAAUGCCGCAUACGAUCUAAUCUCGGCAUCGAGGAAAGAUGAAAGGUGGCCUCUAUGUAUAAGCUAUCACUGAAGUGAGGGGAUUGCGUCUGAUUAGCUAGUUGGAGGGGUAACGGCCCACCAAGGCGAUGAUCAGUAGCCGGUCUGAGAGGAUGAACGGCCACAUUGGGACUGAGACACGGCCCAGACUCCUACGGGAGGCAGCAGUGGGGAAUCUUCCGCAAUGGACUGAAAGUCUGACGGAGCAACGCCGCGUGAGUGAUGACGGCCUUCGGGUUGUAAAGCUCUGUUAAUCGGGACGAAAGGCCUUCUUGCGAACAGUUAGAAGGAUUGACGGUACCGGAAUAGAAAGCCCGGCU
This 503-nucleotide ribosomal RNA is filed under the name Veillonella dispar. Its description in RNAcentral is "bacterial SSU rRNA". It matches the Rfam family "Bacterial small subunit ribosomal RNA", at positions 31 to 498 of the family's 1533-position model. The record is from RNAcentral. Lineage: Bacteria; Bacillati; Bacillota; Negativicutes; Veillonellales; Veillonellaceae.